UACGGGAGGCAGCAGUGGGGAAUAUUGCACAAUGGGCGCAAGCCUGAUGCAGCCAUGCCGCGUGUAUGAAAAAGGCCUUCGGGUUGUAAAGUACUUUCAGUCGUGAGGAAGGUGUUAAGGUUAAUAACCUUAGCAAUUGACGUUAGCGACAGAAGAAGCACCGGCUAACUCCGUGCCAGCAGCCGCGGUAAUACGGAGGGUGCGAGCGUUAAUCGGAAUUACUGGGCGUAAAGGGCACGCAGGCGGUUAAUUAAGUUGGAUGUGAAAUCCCCGGGCUUAACCUGGGAAUGGCAUUCAAGACUGGUUAGCUAGAGUCUUGUAGAGGGGGUAGAAUUCCAUGUGUAGCGGUGAAAUGCGUAGAGAUGUGGAGGAAUACCGGUGGCGAAGGCGGCCCCUGGACAAAGGCUGACGCUCAUGUGCGAAAGCGUGGGGAGCAAACG
This 440-nucleotide ribosomal RNA is filed under the name uncultured bacterium. Its description in RNAcentral is "bacterial SSU rRNA". It matches the Rfam family "Bacterial small subunit ribosomal RNA", at positions 340 to 774 of the family's 1533-position model. The record is from RNAcentral.